AAGGGUGUAGCUCAAGCAGUAGAGUGCAUGCUUGGCAUGCACGAGAUCCUGGGUUCAAUCCCUGGCACCUCCU
Molecule: transfer RNA, 73 nt
Filed under: Camelus bactrianus (Bactrian camel)
Lineage: Eukaryota; Metazoa; Chordata; Mammalia; Artiodactyla; Camelidae
Also listed under: 2 other names
Rfam family: tRNA
About the family: Transfer RNA (tRNA) molecules are approximately 80 nucleotides in length. Their secondary structure includes four short double-helical elements and three loops (D, anti-codon, and T loops). Further hydrogen bonds mediate the characteristic L-shaped molecular structure. tRNAs have two regions of fundamental functional importance: the anti-codon, which is responsible for specific mRNA codon recognition, and the 3' end, to which the tRNAs corresponding amino acid is attached (by aminoacyl-tRNA synthetases). tRNAs cope with the degeneracy of the genetic code in two manners: having more than one tRNA (with a specific anti-codon) for a particular amino acid; and 'wobble' base-pairing, i.e. permitting non-standard base-pairing at the 3rd anti-codon position.
Source: Rfam by way of RNAcentral